CCCGCCGCCCGCCAGUGCAGCUCUAUUCCCGCCUGCCUUCUCCUCACCAAUGCCGGGCGCCACAUAGACGAAGUAGAGGAAAGAGGAGGAGAGCGAGAAGAAGAAUAGGGCGGCCAGGAGCGAGCGCCGAGGAAGCCGCCAGGGCCUCCGAGGACUCCGCUGCCACCGCAUGGUCUGGCCCCUCCACGCCCCCGCCGCCGUUCAAGGAGAUCCCACUGAGGCGGCGGCGGCGGCUGGCGACGCCGCUGACUGAGGCGGCAGCUGACUCUGGAGGAGCGGCGGCUCCUCCUCCCUCAGUCCUUCCUCAGUCCCUUUUUUCCUUCCGCGCCUCUCCGUCGACGACGUUGCAUGAAUGAGGAGCCGACCUCCGAGGAUGCUCGAUAAACACCCUCCUCUUUUUUUCCCGGCCUUCCCUUUUAUUCUUCUUCCUUCUCCUCUUCCCCGUUGUCGCUGCCGAGGCUGCAGCCACCGGCGAAGCGAGGCUGUGGGGCAGCUAGUCAUGGUUGAUGCCCAUCAAGACUGAUAGGGCAGAAGGCAGGGAUACUAUUGGUGGACGGAGGAGCCAGAGCCAAUGACAGGUUGAGACACCCCUGACUGGGUGUAACUUGUAAGGAAGAAGGGUGGCUGAGGUCAGACUGAGGUCAUGCCCAAUUUGCCCAAGAGAAGACCAGCAUGCACUGGAUCUACUGCACUUUUGCAGGUGAAUAAACAGGAUGCACAAAAGGACGUAGGAGAGCAUACAAAAGCUUAUGCCAUAUUA
This is a long non-coding RNA of Rhineura floridana, 760 nucleotides long. RefSeq lists it as uncharacterized. The transcript has 3 exons. The record is from RefSeq and is a predicted model, not a curated record. NCBI's taxonomy places the organism in Eukaryota, Metazoa, Chordata, Lepidosauria, Squamata, Rhineuridae.